This 87-nucleotide small nucleolar RNA is filed under the name Sorex araneus (European shrew). RNAcentral describes it as "Small Cajal body specific RNA 24 (ENSSARG00000019285.1)". Lineage: Eukaryota; Metazoa; Chordata; Mammalia; Eulipotyphla; Soricidae. The record is from RNAcentral.
UGAAGAUAAAAUGUCCUAGAGAAACAUAGUCACUCUCUGUGUAUCCUUUGCAAGUAAAAAGGCUGCAUCAUUCCACUGCUGACAUUU